AUUAAACAAAACUAUUGUAAAG
This 22-nucleotide small nuclear RNA is filed under the name Arabidopsis thaliana (thale cress). Its description in RNAcentral is "snRNA_07642". The record is from RNAcentral. Lineage: Eukaryota; Viridiplantae; Streptophyta; Magnoliopsida; Brassicales; Brassicaceae.